Hemibagrus wyckioides is the source of this 372-nucleotide non-coding RNA. The record is from the annotation of a RefSeq genome assembly. Lineage: Eukaryota; Metazoa; Chordata; Actinopteri; Siluriformes; Bagridae.
AUGGAAUGGCGGCUGUUAAUGUUGAUUACAGAAGCUGUUCUGGGAGUGACACUGGAGCAAAAAGAUCUCUCCAUGACGAAAGGGAAGGGCAAAACUAUACACAUCAGCUGCAAAGUGACCAGGCUAAGGACAGAUUAUGUCCACUGGUACCAAAAGAAAGACGGUGAAGAAGUUCUCAAAAGGAUCCUGUAUGUGAAAAAAGGAAGCUCACCUGUUCCUGAUAAUACCCAUCCUGAAUCAGGGGACUUUAAAGUGCAGUCUGAUAACUAUGAUCUGAAGAUUGAUCUGAAGGAAAUUCACUCAGGGGUUUAUUACUGUGCGAGCUGGGAAAGUACCACAGUGACAGUAAACAUUCUGACAGAAAAACCCUGA